UAAGUAGGGUGCGAGCGUUGUUCGGAAUCACUAGGCGUAAAGCGCGCGUAGGCGGGUUUGUAAGUCGAUUGUGAAAGCCCUGGGCUUAACCCGGGAAUUGCAGUCGAAACUGUGAAUCUUGAAUGUUUGAGAGGAUGGUGGAAUUCCAGGUGUAGAAGUGAAAUUCGUAGAUAUAUGGAGGAACAUUGGAGGCGAAGGCGGCCAUCUGGCAAAACAUUGACGCUGAAGUGCGAAAGCGCGGGGAUCAAACAGG
Molecule: ribosomal RNA, 253 nt
Filed under: uncultured bacterium
Lineage: Bacteria
Description: partial 16S ribosomal RNA
Rfam family: Bacterial small subunit ribosomal RNA
Source: RNAcentral